CCUACGGGAGGCAGCAGUAAGGAAUAUUGGUCAAUGGGCGCAAGCCUGAACCAGCCAUGCCGCGUGCAGGAAGACGGCCCUACGGGUUGUAAACUGCUUUUGUACCGGAAUAAACCCUUUUACGUGUAAGAGGCUGAAUGUACGGUAAGAAUAAGGAUCGGCUAACUCCGUGCCAGCAGCCGCGGUAAUACGGAGGAUCCAAGCGUUAUCCGGAUUUAUUGGGUUUAAAGGGUGCGUAGGUGGCUUUUUAAGUCAGGGGUGAAAGACGGUAGCUUAACUAUCGCAGUGCCUUUGAUACUGAAGAGCUUGAAUGAACUAGAGGUAGGCGGAAUGUGACAAGUAGCGGUGAAAUGCAUAGAUAUGUCACAGAACACCAAUUGCGAAGGCAGCUUACUAUGGUUUUAUUGACACUGAGGCACGAAAGCGUGGGGAUCAAACAGGAUUAGAUACCCUGGUAGUCCACGCCCUAAACGAUGAAUACUCGAUGUUGGCGAUAUACGGUCAGCGUCUAAGCGAAAGCGUUAAGUAUUCCACCUGGGGAGUACGCCCGCAAGGGUGAAACUCAAAGAGAGUAGNGNGNGAGAGCGACGACGACGACGACGAGGGAGGAGG
Molecule: ribosomal RNA, 612 nt
Filed under: uncultured bacterium
Lineage: Bacteria
Description: bacterial SSU rRNA
Rfam family: Bacterial small subunit ribosomal RNA
Source: RNAcentral